Molecule: long non-coding RNA, 10438 nt
Filed under: Solanum tuberosum (potato)
Lineage: Eukaryota; Viridiplantae; Streptophyta; Magnoliopsida; Solanales; Solanaceae
Description: long non-coding RNA (STUB_LNC011500)
Source: RNAcentral
UUCCUCAUCACCACCCAAAUUCCAUUUCCGGCCAGCUUCAACCAGCAAAUGACCACCAAACCACCAGUGCUCACCCCUCUUUUCGUUUCCAGCAACAAUCCAGCCACCACCAAAGACCAAAAGCCACCGGAAACAACCAUUAACAACAACCAAACAACCUCGGAGAAACUCCAACCCAACAAACCACCUCUGUUCACCUCUUUUUCUGGCUAAACUCACUCUUGGAGUAGUCAUGAACAAUGACCAUACAACUCAACCCAGCCCUUCAAUUUUCUCCUUUCCAGCGAAAGCAGACCCAUCGCAGCCCUAAAACGCCCAAAAACCCACCAGAUCUCCCCUCAAAUCACCACCUCCAUUCACCAUUUUCUCCGACCUCACAACCAGCGACCAAACAGACCUUCAACCACCUUAAAACAACCAGACCAACCACCAAAUGCCACCACCCUUUUCCGGCGAAAAACAACCAGAAAAUAGAAACCAACAACCACACAAACACCUCCAAACAGCCGCCUCAAACCACAAUAUCACCACCAGGCGAGCUUCAAGCUCAGGUGAACUCCAAACGAAACCACCACCAAAGGCAGCAGCUCCCUUCAUCCUUUCCAUCUCCGAACUCCAAGCCCAACCAGAAAACGCCAUUCCGGAGAAGGAGAACGAAGCUCGAACAACAGCAACCAAACACGACCCCGUCGUGAUUCCAACUCCGGCGAGGCUCCAUAAGAAACAAUUUCAACCACGCAAAAUAACCGGAUCUGGCCGGAAAAGAUCUCCCUCCGGUAACCUUCCUAAAUUUAUACUUUUCAUAUCUAUCCGUACAUAUUUUUAGCUUUCUGUUUGCAAUUUUUUUUUUAAUUCUAUUCUCAUUUUUAUUGUUGUCGUUCUUUCAUAUUGUUGAUUAUUAACAUGUUAGUGUUAAAUUCAUUUUGUUUUUUCAUAGUUUAUUAUAGGAAAAAUUACGCGGUUAAGCAAACUUAUACUAUUUAAUUACUCAUCAUAGCUAUAGUUUGCUAGAAUUACCACUCACGACUAACAUUAUACAUUAAUUACCGGGCUGACUUCGAGUUUGUAUAAUUAGCCACGUUUGUAUAUGUAUAAUUCGCCAGAAUAUACAAAUACAUAUGUAUAAUAGACAAUUAUCUAACAUAUAUACAUAUACAAUUCACCUCUCUCCCACUCUCCUUCCUCUCCCAAUCUCGCUUGCCAUAUAUACAGAUGCAUAUGUGUAAUAUACAAUUAUCUAACCUAUAUACAUAUACAAUUCACCUCUCUCCCACUCUCUUCCCUCUCUCGCUCGUCUCUCUCCUCCCUCUCCCAAUCUCGCUUUCCUCUCUCCUUCCUCUCCAAAUCUCGCUUGCCAUAUAUACAAAUACAUAUGUAUAAUAUACAAUUAUCUAACCUAUAUACAUAUACAAUUCACCCUUCUCCCACUCUUUGCCCCCUCUCUCUCGCCUCUCUUCUCGCUCUCUCCCAGUCUCGCUCGCCUCUCUCCUCCCUAUAGCAUAUAGCUACGAAUUGUAAUUAUCAAACUAUAGCUAUGGAGAGUAAUUGAGCUAUUUUUGAGCUUCUAUCUGUGAAAGUUUCCCUUUAUUAUAUAUAUAUAUAUAUAUAUAUAUAUAUUAAUUGUUUAUCCGUAUUGCUUACUUUUGUUAACAUUAAUUGUUCUUAACCUACUAUAGUUAGUUGAAUACAUUUUUAAAUAUUUCCCAUAGGUUGUGUGUUAUUUUAUCAUCAUGUGGUUAUUAUUAUUUUUAAUUGUUGUUACCGUUUUGUAUUGUGGUAGCUAAAUAUGUUGUGUUAAGCUAGAUUUAAUCUUGUUUAUAGUGUGGUGACACUUUCUGUUAAUCUCAUUCUCUUUAAUUAUAUAUUUUUUUUAUCUUAGUUUGCUUUAUUUAGUUAUUUUUGAUAUGUUGAUUUAUUGGGAUUGGUUAUAUCCACUUCUUCUAGAAUUUUAAAUGUUGCUAGUUGUCAUCAUUAUGUUAUUUCUAUAAUUUAUUAUUUUUUUAUUUGUUAGGUCAAUUUUUAUUUAGAUGUUGCAUAUUACUUUUUUAUUGUUUUUGUUAGUGUCAUGUCAUUUUUUGUUAGAGAAAGUUAAAAUUGGUCAAUGAAAAAAUCUCUCCGUCGGUUUUUGAGGCCUCUCCAUUUUAAAAGACGGAAAUUUAGUUUAUGUUUAUAUUUUGUUUGUUAAAAAUGGUCGAUAAAGAAAUUACCGUCGAUUUCCAAGGCCUCCCAUGUUAAUAAGACGUAGUUUUUAUUUUUAAGUUAUUAUUUAAUUCAUUUAUUUUUAUUCAUAUUUAUUUAUUACUAACACUUUUACUAAGUAUCUUUAUAGGUACCCCAGAGUCGCUUCCCAUUGAAGUUAUUCCAAUGGAAUUCGAAUAUGUUUAAUUAUGUAUAUUAUUGAUGUUAGGCAAACCUUAGGCUGUUUUGAUAUUAUUCUUUUGUUUUAUUACUUGUGCAUAUCGUAUGUUUGUUAUACUUGUAUAUUAUUUUAUCUCCUCCUCAAUUUGAAAAAAAAUGAAUUCAGUCGGGAAUCACAUUUGUGGAUUUCGAAGGAUGCCUAACACAUUCCCUUCGGAAUCACUUGAACCCCUUACCUAGAAUCUAAUGGUUUCAUAGACAUUUUUAUAUUGGUUUCCUAUUUUUUUCCUAAAAUUAGGUGGCGAGUCCUUUAAAAUUCAUUUUUUCUUAAAAUUCUUUUAAAAUCGAAUUAAUUGAUUAUUUUUUGAGACACCACGACGUUUCUCCUUAUUUGAAUAAAGUAAGGGAUGUAAAUAGAAUGUCGACUCUGCUGGGGAUAUAGAGGUUCUAACCAUUAUGAGUUCAUUUUUUCAAAUUGAGGAGUUAUUCUUUUAUUGUGUUAUUUAUUAUAUCUUGUAUAUUUUGUUGAUUAUUUGUAUAUUAUACUUGUUAUUUAUUCAUUAUUUGUUUAAACUGUAUAUAAACUGUCAUUGCAUUCAUGACAUUUUCGGACAUGUAUGUAUAGUAUAUUAAAGAACGGUUUUGCGAAAUCGCAUCUGGACUUUUUUAUACUCAACCAUUUUCCGGAAUGAUCGGCAAUUUAUUGGUUCGUCAUGCGUCCAAUGGUUGUCGUGAGUACCAGCCUAAGUUGUCCUCUUGGGUUCCCGAUUUUUCAAAAGUCACUCUAAGUCAACUAGCGUAGAGCGAAAUCAAAUCUCGAAUUUAGUGCAUUUUGAACUAGGUCGACCCAACACCCAAGGCAUGUUGGGCCCAUUAGAAGCCCACCUUGAGUCUAAAAUGGCCUCCGGCCUAAAUGGACGAUCAUAAUUGUGUGUUCAAAUUUGAAAGAUGUAUACGUCAUUUGGCAAUUCAUUAUCACUCGGGGUUGGGGGUUUAAUUUAGUAGCUUACUCCAGUCGAAGAAUGAACUUUACAAGCUACCAUUUCAUCCAAAAGGUGUUGGCAUUCGGAAAUGACAAGAAGCUCAAGAGGAAGUACAUUCCACAAAGGAUUAGUUUAGGAUGAUAUCCCUGCGUGAGACUGAUUAUUUGUAUCUUUUUUUUUUUUCUUAUUUUGUAAUUCUAUUUGAUUUAUUCAUAAAAUUUGUACUAAGUAUUUUAGGGCAAUGUUGUCAAAUAGUGUAAUACAUCCUUCAGAUCGAUAGGCCUAUCCUUGGCACAAAAGGGUUACAUAUUUGUAUAGGAUGCGCAAUAAUUAUUUAUAUGUUAUGUGAUAUAAUUGAGUUUGUAUUCAAUCAAAACAGUGCUUAUGUGUUUAAUUAAUUAUUUGUGUGAUAUUUUGCAUUAUCUAUUAUGAACACGAACUAACACUUUUGCCUCUUGAGUUUUUCUUUUUUUUAAACGAGAGGUUGAUUUAUGUCAGAAUCUGGAAGUGAUUGUUUGUCCGAAGUUACAAGGGACAAGAGGACUCGCGAAAUUCAAGUCUUUGUAUUUCACAAUACAUUGAUAUCAAGUCAAAAAGAUAAAUCAGGGGAGUCUUUGAAUAUGAGGUCGCACUCAUUUAUUUUUUAUUAUUUAACACGCUGGCCCUUCUUUCACACAUUUCUCAUAUUUUUGCAGGAAAAUCAUUUUCGACGACAGUCGGGGAUGGUCAUAACAAUGUCUGGUUCUCGUGGAGAAUUGGGAGAAAUCACAGUUCCAAGAAACAUCCAAAAAAGAAUACAACAAUAAGUGGUUAUUGUAAAAAAAAAUGGGAGGUCACAUUCAACAAGCAAUACAAAGGUCAACAAUUAAGAGGAUACAAGGAAUCGCUCCGAGUUUGUCUAAAUUUUAAAAUUAUUUUAUGCCAUAUCUGAACGAACUACGUACACCUGAUUCUUAUCUUGAUGAGAUACGUAGGCAACCCUUCUUGAGUUAGGUAUUCAUUUUUUCAAAAGUGAAAAAAAAUAAAAAAUAGUUUGUGCAUAUUUUCAAAGUCAUAUUUGCACGAACUACGCGUACCUGAUUCUCAUGUCAAUGAGAUACGUAGGCAACCCUUCUUGGGUUCGGUAUUCAUUUUUUCAAAAGUGAAAAAAAAUAAAAAAUAGUUUUUGCAUAUUUUCAAAGUCAUAUUUGCACAAACUACGCGUACUUGAUUCUUAUAUCAAUGAGAUACGUAAGCAACCCUUCUUGGGUUCGGUAUUUAUUUUUUCCAAAAGUAAAAAAAAAAUAGUUUGUACAUAUUUUCAAAGACCUAUCUGCACGAACUACGCGUACCUGAUUCUCAUAUCAAUGAGAUAUGUAGGCAACCCUUCUUGGGUUCGGUAUUUUUUUUUCAAAAGUAAAAAAAAAAAUAGUUUGUGCAUAUUUUCAAAGGCAUAUCUGCACGAACUACGCGAACCUGAUUCUCAUCUUGGUGAGAUACGUAGGCAACCCUUCUUGGGUUCGGUAUUCAUUCUUUUAAAUUAAAAAAAAAGAGUCAAAUACUUUGUGCAUAUUUUCAAGGACAUAUUUGCAUGAACUACGCGCACUUGAUUCUCAUCUCGACGAGAUACGUAGGCAACCCUUCUUGGAUUCGGUAUUCAUUCUUUCAAAAAAAUAUUGUGUAUAUAUUGUAAAAGUCAUGUCUUCAGCUCAAUUGGGACAAUGCAGUUGGGAGCAUGUAAAAAUAUUUGAUAUGAUGAAGAGGGCUGACUUUGUGGUAAACCAUAGAUUCCCGUGGUAUGUCUCAUUUGUACUUUUAUGAUUCUUGAAAAUUCUCUUGCAUGCAUUCAAGAUAAGAAUAAAACCAACCUUAUGGUUUCAUGUGCAUUGUGUGGUGAGCUUUUAGAUCAAAAUUCAAUUGCAUUGCACUGUUGAUCUAGAACUUGGCCUGAAUAUUUUUCGAAGCGAAAUCCUGAGUAAUGUUUGGUUUGGGAAAAGAUUGUAGGCAUUCUUUGACCCAAUUGUGCCUUUCAAAACCUACCAAAUGACAUUAAUCCCUAGUUUUCCCACUUCGAGCCUGGAGCCUGGAGCCUUUUCUUUGGACAACCACAUUUUAGUCAUUACCCUUCUGAGUGCUUAUGUGCACUAUCCCUCUCUUGGCCCAACCUUCUUGAGCGCACCAAAGAUGUGCAAAAUAUAAGAGAAGAUCCGUGUUUGAAGUUGCCAAAGGCAAAAGAUACAAAGUCUCCCAAAGUCAAGGAAGCAAAAGGCGACUUCUAAAAAAAAGGGGGGGGGGGAGAAUUAAAGAAAGACAAAGAGACCCCUACAAGGUCAAUGAAGACGAGAAGGAAAAAAACCUCCAACAAAAGAGGAGAAAACUUCAAAACAAAGGGGUGAAAAAGGAAAAGUUCCAACAAAUAAGAAUUCAAAAGAAGUAAAAAAAAAGGGACAAUAAAGAGUAUCAGACGCCAAAGGUGUAUCAAUCAUCAAAAACACAAAUUGACUGUGAUGCUCAAGAAGGAAUUAAGUCAUUCUUAUCCCAAAUAUAUAUCCUACUCGUCCCUAAGACUACAUUACAAGCCAAUGACAAGCCCUACGUGAUCUUAUUCCAAACGUUCUCACAUUAGUGGAGAUUUAUAUAAGGGCCAAGCAUAUGGUAUCACAGUUGCAUGCAUUGAACAUCCUUGUAAGUGUGAGUGUGAGUGUGAGUGCACUUCAAAAAAUGUCCGCAAAUAAUAUGCUUCAAAUAUGUGUGAAAUAAGACUUUUCUUUUUGUGAGGGCAUGUGAAACCUAAGGAUUGGUACAAUUCAAAAUCUUUGUUUGAAGCAAGAUGAACAAAUCUUGUUGAUCCUUAAGUAUGUUUGAGAUACCACUUGAAGCUGUAGGAAUUACCCUGAAUUCAAUCUCAGUUAGAAAAAGUAAAAAAGGGGGGGGGGGGAUUUACAUGCGAUCCUAACUCAUGAUACCAAUUGUAGUCAAGAUUUGACGGUUUCUUUAUAUUAUUUAUAUUUCAAAAAAAAAAAGGGAGGGGGGGAGGGGUAAGCACCCACUCUUUAAUACUUUCCAAAACAUUUUUUUAAAAUUCUUUCCAUUAAAAUAAAAAAGAUUUUGUCUUUCCCUUUUGGGUUGUUCAUUGUAAAAAAGUGUCAUUAUGUUAAUCCUGUCAGUGUGAGAUACUUAUUUUACUUCAUUGGGUUGUUUGUCCAAAAAAUGUGAUAUAUCUUGUCUUUAGGCUUCGAAUAUUGCGGGAAAUAUUAUUUUCCUAUUUCAUCAUGUUCAUAUUGUGCAUUUUCUACUAAUGAUUUUGUCUCAGAUUCUUUGCGGUAUUCAUCAUCUACAGGAUUGGAACUACAUUUGACCUGAUUCUUGGCUCAAUAGGAUAUGUAGGUGCCAUGAUGGCUCGGUCAUAUACCCAAUGUGAUUUUCUUUUCUCUUUGUAAUAAAAACUGGGACAGAAUUUUUGAGAAUAUCUCAAAAAUUCACAAUAAAGAUGCUUUUCCCAGCAAGUCAAGAUUGGAGAGCAUUGUGAGAUUCGUCAAGAGAUCUAACUGGGACAUAAUGUUUUAGGAAGACCUCAAAAAUUCAAACAAGUAUUGACAAAAGUUCGAUAGUCAACUUCAAAUGAUCUCUGGUAUCGGUUGAAGUUCAAAGUCGACGUCAGAGUCUCCAGCAUUGCCAUAAUGGAGCAAAAUAAGCUCAGGAUGCGAGCCACCGACGCCCCGUACAAAUAUCCAAUAAGACAUGAGUUACAAUGAACACAAAGUGUUCAAGAGCAAAAUGAUGGUUGUUCACUUGUGUCAAAGUGAUUAGGCACUUUGUACACAUUCUCUUUUGAAUCCCGCCUUAAAGUUUCUUUGUCAUGUUGCUAGCUAAAGCAAGAUUGUGUCUACUAACCGUUACUUUUCGAAUACCGGGACAGAUGAAAGCAUCAAAAUGAUGACAUUUUCAAGACACACGAGCCAUUCACCUCGUUACAGUGGACAAUCAUCGAGCCAUCCACCUCGUUAAGUUGGACUAUCAUCAGGCCAUCCACCUUGUUAUAGUGGACAAUCAUCGGGCCAUCCACCUCGUUACAGUUGGACAAUCAUCGAGUCAUCCACCUUGUUACAGUUGGACAAUCACCAAGUCAUCCACCUAAUUACAGUGGACAAUCAUCGAGCCAUCCACCUCGUUACAAUUAGACAAUCAUCGGGCCAUCCACCUCGUUACAAUGGACAAUCAUCGAGCCAUCCACCUCGUUACAGUUGGACAAUCACCGAGUCAUCCACCUCGUUACAGUGUCAAUCAUCGAGCCAUCCACCUCGUUAUAGUUGGACAAUCAUCGGGCCAUCGACCUCGUUACAGUGGACAAUCAUCGGGUCAUCCACCUCGUUACAGUUGGACAAUCAUCGGGCCAUCCAUCUCGUUACAGUUGGACAAUCAUCGCGCCAUCCACCUCGUUAUAGUUGGACAAUCACCGAAUCAUCCACCUCGUUACAGUGGACAAUCAUCGAGCCAUCCACCUCGUUACAAUUGGACAAUCAUCGAGUCAUCCAUCAUUUGCAUUUUUCAUUGCAUUUUCAUUCGUCGAGAAGGCCAUUGCAUUUUCAUUCGCCGAGAAAGUCAUUGCGUUUAAGUUGCAUCUAUUCGGAGGUGAAGGAUGUGCGCCAUAUCUAUUCAACGUUCAAUUCGAAGGAAACUUGCGUUGAAAUAUAUUUGCAUUUAAGUUGCAUCUAUUCGGAGGUGAAGGAUGUGCGCCAUAUCUAUUCAACGUUCAAUUCGAAGGAAACUUGCGUUGAAAUAUAUUUGCAUUUAAGUUGCAUCUAUUCGGAGGUGAAGGAUGUGCACCUUAUCUUUUGAACGUUCAAGUCGAAAGAAACUUGCGUCGAAAGAUAUUUGCAUUAAGUCGCAUUUAUUUGGAGGUGAAGGAUGUGCACCCUAUCUAUUCAACGUUCAAGUUGAAAGAUAUUUGCAUUUAAGUCGCAUCUAUUCGGAGGUGAAUGAUGUGCACCCUAUCUAUUCAACAUUCAAGUAGGUGGAAACUUGCGUUGAAAGAUAUUUGCAUUUAAGUCGCAUCUAUUCGGAGGUGAAAGAUGUGCACCCUAUCUAUUCAACAUUCAAGUCGGUGGAAACUUGCGUUGAAAGACAUUGCAUUUAAGUCGCAUCUAUUCGGAGGUGAAGGAUGUGCAUCCUAUCUAUUUCACGUUCAAGUCGGAGGAAACUUGCAUCGAAAGAUAUUUGCAUUAAGGCGUAUCUAUUCGGAGGUGAAGGAUGUGCACCGUAUCUAUUCCACGUUCAAGUCGGAGGAGACCUGCGUUGAUAGAAUUUUCAUUCGUCCUACCGAUGGACAUACAUUCAAAAUCCUACCGAUGGAUCAUAUUUUUUCAUUCGUUGUACCGAUGGACAUACAUUAAAAAUCCUACCGAUGGAUCAUCAUCUUUCUUCAUUCGUCCUACCGAUGGACAUGCAUUUUUAUCCUACCAAUGGAUCAUCUUCUUUUGUCGUAUCGUAAGAGAUGCUACCUUUUUUCCUGUAAUUUUGUCUCUACUAAUGAGUUUCAUCUUUGUUUUUUCGAGAACAUCCAAGAGGAUGCAUUUUCAAUUGUGCCACAUGUGCGGACUACUUCAACAAGGACGCAACACAACGUUGAACCUCUUGGAGGCAAGUCCAGGAUCGACGUCCACCACAUUCCAACCACACUUUUAUAUAAAGGUCAUGUGUUCGGCCAAAAUCGGGUUUGUCAAUUUUCAUUGUUCAUAAUUUCUUUCAUCAAUCAUAUCCAACGAAAGGGGCAACUGUUGACACCCAAUUUUGGCAUAACAUUUGCAAGAAUCGCAACUUUUAAGUUUUAUUUAUUCAAUAGUUAAAAAUACAUUUUUUAUAAUUUUAAUAAGUUUAUCGAUAUUUCUCCUUAUUUAUCAAAAUUUAGGAUUUUUUAUGAAUUAAUUUUAAUUACAUUAUUUUUUGUCAUAACCGGUUAAAUACGUUCAAAUAUUUGUUCAUUUUGAUUAAAUGGUUAUUUCUGUUAAAUUGCACUUUAAACAUGUCAUUAGUUACGUUCAUUACUUUAUUUUAAUAUUCAUUUUUAUUCAUCACAUUUGCUAAUAUUAAUUUUGAUAUUUUGCACGGUCUAGAAAUUGAUUCAAAUAUAAAUAAGAUUUAUAUACAAAUAUUUUAUUUAACUAGUGGUUUCAGCCCAUGAUCUUAAGAUAAUCGUAUCGUACUAUAGAUAGUUUUCGAUUUUCUAUAUAAACAAUAGCUUAUUCAUUAAGUCAAUGGGGUGGAUAAUAUAUUUAGACUAGGUGGUGAGAAUUUUCAAAAUGAGUGAAACCCUAAGAUAUUUUUCUAUCAUCUUCUCAAAGUUGCCACCACACUCCUUCCUCAUCACCACCCAAACUCCAUUUCCGGCCAGUUUCAACCAGCAAAUGACCACCAAACCACCAGUGCUCACCCCCUUUUCGUUUCCAGCAACAAUCCAGCCACCACCAAAGACCAAAAGUCACCGAAAACAACCAUUAACAACAACCAAACAACCUCGGAGAAACUCCAACCCAACAAACCACCUCCGUUCACCUCUUUUUCCGGCUAAACUCACUCUUGGAGUAGUCAUGAAUAAUGACCAUACAACUCAAUCCAACCCUUCACUUUUCUCCUUUCCAGCAAAAGCAAACCCAUCGCAGCCCCAAAACGCCCAAAAACCCACCAGAUCUCCCCUCAAAUCACCACCUCCAUUCACCAUUUUAUCCGACCUCACAACCAGCGACCAAACAGACCUUUCAACCCACCUUCAAAACAACCAGACCAACCACCAAAUGCCACCAGCCUUUCCUGACGAAAAACAACCAGAAAACAGAAACCAACAACCACACAAACACCUCCAAACAGCCGCCUCAAACCACAAUAUCACCACCAGGCGAGCUUCAAGCUUAGGUGAACUCCAAACGAAACCACCACCAAAGGCAGCAGCUCCCUUCAUCCUUUCCAUCUCCGAACUCCAAGCCCAACCAGACGACCCCGUCAUGAUUCCAACUCCGGCGAGGCCCCAUAAGAAACAAUUUCGACCACACAAAACAACCGGAUCUGGCUGGAAAAGGUCUCCCUCCGGUAACCUUCCUAAAUUUAUAUUUUUACAUAUCUAU